RNAcentral lists this ribosomal RNA (460 nucleotides) under uncultured bacterium. Its description in RNAcentral is "partial 16S ribosomal RNA". It matches the Rfam family "Bacterial small subunit ribosomal RNA", at positions 338 to 795 of the family's 1533-position model. The record is from RNAcentral.
CCUACGGGAGGCAGCAGUGAGGAAUAUUGGUCAAUGGGCGUAAGCCUGAACCAGCCAAGUCGCGUGAGGGAUGAAGGUUCUAUGUAUCGUAAACCUCUUUUAUCAGGGAAUAAAGUGCGGGACGUGUCCCGUUUUGUGUGUACCUUAUGAAUAAGGAUCGACUAACUCCGUGCCAGCAGCCGCGGUAAUACGGAGGAUCCGAGCGUUAUCCGGAUUUAUUGGGUUUAAAGGGUGCGUAGGCGGCCUUUUAAGUCAGCGGUGAACGUCUGUGGCUCAACCACAGAAUUGCCGUUGAAACUGGGAGGCUUGAGUGUGAGUGAGGCAGGCGGAAUGCGUGGUGUAGCGGUGAAAUGCUUAGAUAUCGCGCAGAACCCCGAUUGCGAAGGCAGCAUGCCAAGCCAUGACUGACGCUGAUGCACGAAAGCGUGGGUAUCGAACAGGAGUAGAUACCCGUGUAGUC